UGCAAGUCGAACGAUGAACCGGUUUCGGCCGGGGAUUAGUGGCGAACGGGUGAGUAACACGUGGGCAAUCUGCCCUGCACUCUGGGACAAGCCCUGGAAACGGGGUCUAAUACCGGAUACGACCUUUGGGGGCAUCCUUGGGGGUGGAAAGCUCCGGCGGUGCAGGAUGAGCCCGCGGCCUAUCAGCUUGUUGGUGGGGUGAUGGCCUACCAAGGCGACGACGGGUAGCCGGCCUGAGAGGGCGACCGGCCACACUGGGACUGAGACACGGCCCAGACUCCUACGGGAGGCAGCAGUGGGGAAUAUUGCACAAUGGGCGAAAGCCUGAUGCAGCGACGCCGCGUGAGGGAUGACGGCCUUCGGGUUGUAAACCUCUUUCAGCAGGGAAGAAGCGCAAGUGACGGUACCUGCAGAAGAAGCGCCGGCUAACUACGUGCCAGCAGCCGCGGUAAUACGUAGGGCGCAAGCGUUGUCCGGAAUUAUUGGGCGUAAAGAGCUCGUAGGCGGCUUGUCGCGUCGGAUGUGAAAGCCCGGGGCUUAACCCCGGGUCUGCAUUCGAUACGGGCAGGCUAGAGUUCGGUAGGGGAGAUCGGAAUUCCUGGUGUAGCGGUGAAAUGCGCAGAUAUCAGGAGGAACACCGGUGGCGAAGGCGGAUCUCUGGGCCGAUACUGACGCUGAGGAGCGAAAGCGUGGGGAGCGAACAGGAUUAGAUACCCUGGUAGUCCACGCCGUAAACGUUGG
Molecule: ribosomal RNA, 741 nt
Filed under: Streptomyces sp. FXJ1.265
Lineage: Bacteria; Bacillati; Actinomycetota; Actinomycetes; Kitasatosporales; Streptomycetaceae
Description: bacterial SSU rRNA
Rfam family: Bacterial small subunit ribosomal RNA
Source: RNAcentral